RNAcentral lists this transfer RNA (66 nucleotides) under Mansonia uniformis. RNAcentral's name for it is "tRNA-Ile". The record is from RNAcentral. Lineage: Eukaryota; Metazoa; Arthropoda; Insecta; Diptera; Culicidae.
AAUGGGUUGCCUGAUGAAAAGGAUUAUCUUGAUAGGGUAAAUUAUAAAGAAUUUCUUUACUCAUUA